RNAcentral lists this ribosomal RNA (434 nucleotides) under uncultured bacterium. RNAcentral describes it as "partial 16S ribosomal RNA". It matches the Rfam family "Bacterial small subunit ribosomal RNA", at positions 29 to 507 of the family's 1533-position model. The record is from RNAcentral.
AGCGAACGCUGGCGGCAGGCCUAGCACAUGCAAGUCGAACGAACCUUUCGGGGUUAGUGGCGGACGUGUGAGUAACACGUGGGAACGUGCCUUUAGGUUCGGAAUAACUCAUGGAAACUUGUGCUAAUACCGAAUGUGCCCUUCGGGGGCAAGAUUUAUCGCCUUUAGAGCGGCCCGCGUCUGAUUAGCUAGUUGGUUGAGGUAAUGGCUCACCAAGUCGACGAUCAGUAGCUGGUCUGAGAGGAUGAUCAGCCACAUUGGGACUGAGACACGGCCCAAACUCGUAAGAGAGGCAGCAGUGGGGAAUAAUGCGCAAUGGGCGAAAGGCUGACGUAGCCAUGAGGCGUGAAUGAUGAAGGUCUUAGGAUUGUAAAAUUCUUUCAACGGGGACGAUAAUGACGGUACCAGGCGAAGAAGCCCAGGAUAACUGCGUG